RNAcentral lists this long non-coding RNA (5516 nucleotides) under Homo sapiens (human). Its description in RNAcentral is "HSALNT0291078". The record is from RNAcentral. Lineage: Eukaryota; Metazoa; Chordata; Mammalia; Primates; Hominidae.
GUCCCGGAGCCGCACGGCCAGGCCAGGCCUUGAACCUGAGCUCCCACCCUCUGGGUCGGCGGAGGAGAGUGGGGGUGCAUCAGUGCCCCCCGGGACCCCCUCUUCCAGCUCUUAAAAGCCCCCUCGGGGGGUCGGUGAGGUAACGGGCGGACCAGAGGGACCACAGUGGGGAAGACCGAGCCUCGGCUCCCGGGCUUCAUCCCUGCGAGGCCGUGUGCGAGAUCGAAGCCAGGGCCUCCUUCUUGCCUCCCCAGUCCGACUGGAGGCUCCUGAGGUCUCGGUCCGCUCCACGGAGGCCUCCCUCCAGCAUCUUUGCUUGGGACCCCCGCCCCCAUCAAUCCUCCGCUUCGUCCACUCCCCGCACACUGACCCCACCGCGGUCGCACCUCCGCCUCCCAGCUCUCCCUCCCACCCCUGGGCUCCCUCAAUCCCACUCCAUGCCUGCCUCUCCCAGCCCACUGCUCUUCCUCCAAUAAGCCCGGCUUCUAGUCUGACUCCCUGGGCCCCUCGAUCAUCCCCUGCCUCCAGCUCUGUGAAGGGCCCUUUGUCCACCCAAGCACGGGGUCAGCCUUGGCCCCUUCCUCUCCCCCUCUCAUCCCACUCACAGAGCCUUGGGGGCCCUGCUCUUUUCAUCUGGGGCCAGCCACGUUCUCCCUUUCCCAUGGCCACUGUCCUGCUCCGGCGUCCAGGCUCCUCCUGGAGCCCAUGGUCUCCUGCCUCCCCGUGUCCUAGUGCGCUGCAGACAGGCAGCAAGGGUUUCCACUCUGAAUCUGAGCCUGCCACUACCUGCUUAAAACCAUCAGUGACUCCCCAAAUCGAGUUGGAAAUCUCUUCUUGUCUCCACGAACUGGCCCCGGGCCUCUUACACUCCCUCAGGGCUUGGUUGGUCCUUGCUUUCCGGCAGGAACACUUACCCCCUGGUCGUGCCCUUGCCACCUUCUACACAUCCUUCAGACCCUGGGCCUUCCCCCAGCCCCCAGACCAGGUCAGUACCCGCUCUCCUGCUCUGUUGUACACCCUCACAACACCAGCAGCUUCCCUGUGCACCUGCAAACUGAACCCACUGGGAGUGGAGUCUGUUUCCUGUCUGUGUCCCCACUGGCCAUGACUCUGAGGGGGCAGGACUAGGUCUGUCUUGCUCAUCCCUGGAGCCCUGUGCCCAGCACAGUGUCUGCCCACAGCUGGCCAUCCCCAUUAGAGGAGGGUGUGCAGGCCUGUGUCUCCUUCAGCCCGAAUACCUUCCUGAUCUCCAUGCCAGGUGCCCUGGCCCAGACAGCAGGAGAAAGAAAGGACUCCUCUCUGUCUCAGGCUCCUCAUUUGUAAAAAGGGAGAAAUAAUACCUACCCCACAGUGUUGUUUUGAAGGUUAAAUAACAGUUCACCUGUGGCCGGGUGCGGUGGCUCACACUUGUAAUCCCAGCACUUUGAGAGGCUGAGGAGGGAGGAUCACUGGAGCCUAGGCGUUCAAGACCAGCCUGGGCAACAUAGCAAGACCCUGUCUCUACAAAAAAAUUUAAAAAUUAGCCAGGUACUGUGGCGCAUGCCUAUAGUCCCAGCUACUCGGGCGACUGAGGCAGGAGGAUCUCUUGACCCCAGGAGUUUGAGGCUAUAGUGAACCAUGAUUGCAAAGCCUGGGUGACAGAGUGAGAUCCUGUUUCAAAAUUUUUUUAAAGAAGCUGGGCCUGGUGGCUCAUGCCUGUAAUCCCAGCACUUUGGGAGGCCGAGAUGGGAGGAUGACUUGAGGUCAGGAGUUCGAGACCAGCCUGGCCAAAUGGUAAAACCUCAUCUCUACUAAAAAUACAAAAAUUAGCCGGGUGCGGUGGCUCACACCUGUAAUCCCAAUACUUUGGGAGGCUGAGGUGGGCGGAUCAUGAGGUCAGGAGAUCGAGACCAUCCUGGCUAACACGGUAAAACCCCGUCUCUACUAAAAAAUACAAAAAAUUAGCCGGGUACAGUGGUGGGCGCCUGUAGUCUCAGCUAUUCGGGAGGCUGAGGCAGGAGAAUGGCGUGAACCUGGGAGGCGGAGCUUGCAGUGAGCUGAGAUCGUGCCACUGCACUCCAGCCUGGGCGACAGAGCGAGACUGUGUCUCAAAAAAAAAAAAAAAAAAAAAAAAUUAGCUGGGCGCGGUGGUGGGUUCCUGUAAUUCCAGCUACUCAGGAGGCUGAGGUGGGAGAAUCACUUGAACCCAGGAGGUGGAGGUUGCAGUUAGCCAAGAUGGUACCACUGCACUCCAGCCUGGGUGACAGAGCGGACUCUGUCUAAAAAGGAAAAAAAAAAAAAAAGCUUGUAUAAUAGAAAGAUGACCAAAUAAGGAAACAAAUGAGUUCUUCAAAGGAGACUUAGUGUCCAGGAAAGGAUUCUAUGGACCCUGAGAGGAUUUAGAGAAGAGGUAUAUAGGCUUGAACCCAGGAGGCGGAGGUUGCAGUGAGCCGAGAUGGCACCACUGCACUCCAGCCUGGGUGACAAAGUGAGACUCGGUCUCAAAAAAAAAAAAAAAAUUUAAGAAAGGGUUCACAUGUUGAGUGCCUGGCACAAAGUGGGUUCCAGCAAACACCUCUCCCUCUUCUGAUCAUGACGUUUCAGGUACAGAGGGUAGUGUUUGGGGUGGGUAGAAACCUUCCCUGGGGUCACUGGGGUGGCAGAGGAGGGAAGGGCCCCCUUUCCCAGAUGUCCUGUUUAAUUCUCUUGAGAGCUCCAGGAGGUCAGUGCUAUGCCCAGUUCACAUAUGUGGUUUGGAAGAGGCAAAGCGACCUGCCCACAGGCACAGCCAGGCUGAUCAGUGCCCACUUCUCUUUGGAGGGACCCUCCCCAGGACUGCUUGGUUAGGCCCUGUGAAUGUGCAGAUGUGUGGGCUGCUAGUGGCCUCAAUAUUGGGACACUGAUUGCUCCCAUGAGGCCAGGACCCUUCCUGAAUCUGCCCUGGCAUCUGUGUGACCUGGACUCCACUUCUGAACUUGGAAGGCCUGGAUGAGAUGUCCCCUGGGGACCAGGGGAUGAACAUUUCUCCCCUAACCUUCUCUGUGGAAACAGGAAACCUGAUUCAGUGACCCCGAAGCCCCUGCCAACCUGAGGCUCCGUGUCCUCUCCAGAAGCCACCUCGCAGAAGGAAUGGCUGUUGCCUCCUGCAUGUCCGUCCCUCUCCGGGCCAUGGAACAGUGGGGCCUGCAAAUUCAUUUUCUCUCAUCCCCACUUUAGGAACAUCCCAUCUGGGCUGCCUGGGCUCCAGUCGUUGUCUCAGGGUGGCUGGAAGGGCUCAGAGGACACAGCCUGCUGCUAAGGUGGUCUCUGGACACUGUGCCUUACGGCUCCUAUCCAGAGACACCACAGCCUCAACUAAGAAUUUGGAGCCCAGCUUCAAAGGGGAGAGCAUAGCCUGGUUUUGCUGUUGCUGCUGAGUCGUCCGCUGGGUGCUGGGCAAGUCCCAGCCCUUCUUGCCACCCCUGCCUCUGUCAUGAGCCCUUUGCAGGUAGGACUGGCUUGCAAUUCAGGGAGAGAUGAUUGGAAAGUAGAAUCCAGAAUCCCGGUCUCAAUGCCCCAUUAUAUAAGGGCAGAAUCAAUACCCAGAGAGGGGCAAUGACUUGCCCAGGGUGACCCAGCUAAGGAAUGGUGGAGUUGGGCUUCAAGCCCCAUGGUCACAAAGUCCUAUUUGGGACUCAGGAUCUUAGAGGGCAAUGGUCCUGAAAUGUGAACCCCAAAUCCAUCUCCCACUGCAUAAAACCUCUGACUUGGGUGAAUCUGGGCUCCUGGAGAAGCCUGAGGGAGAAUGAGCUCCCCAUUUCCAUGGCUUUCUGUAGCCCAGAGAAGACGCAGAGGCAGAGCCUGGGUAAAGCUGGGAAGGUCAAGGAGAUGAGACCCUCCUGUGGGACAGGGUGAUGCCAGCCUCCUGCCUGAGUCCUUUGGUGGAGGGAUAACAGUAGGAACAGCACCAUCUCACCGAGCUGCCCUGGCUACCAGGACCUUUGUACCCAUCACUUCAGAGUACAAGACACUCCUGUGAGCCUGGCACAGCACUCACCUGUAUCACACAUGUGGAAACAGCUUCACCAGGUCCGGCCCUGUCUGUGGUCACACAGCUGGUCAGUGGCAGAGCCAAGGUCAGAAGCAGGUGUGGUGGGGUUGUUGUUUCGUUUUGGGUUUUUUUGAAAUGGAGUCUCGCUCUGUUACCCAGGCUGGAGUGCAGCUCACUGCGCUCACGAUCUCAGCUCACUGCAACCUCCGCCUCUCAGGUUCAAGCGAUUCCCGUCACAGCCUCCUGAGUAGCUGGGAUUACAGGCAUGGGCCACCAUGCCCAGCUAUUUCUGUAUUUUUAGUAGAGACAGGGUUUCACCGUGUUGGUCAGGCUGGUCUCGAACUCCUGACCUCAGGUGAUCCACCCACCUCAGCCUCCCAAAAUGCUGGGAUUACAGGUGUGAGCCACCACACCUGGUGUAGUUUUUGUUGUUGUUGUUUUGAGAUGGAAUUUCACUCGUUGCCCAGGCUGGAGUGCAAUGGCGUGAUCUCGGCUCACUGCAACCUCCACCUCCUGAUUUCAAGCAUUCUCCUACCUCAGCCUCCCGAGUAGCUGGAAUUACAGGCAUGUGCCACCACGCCCAGGUAAUUUUUGCAUUUUUAGCAGAGACAGGGUUUCACCAUGUUGGCCAGGCUAGUCUCGAUCUCCUGACCUCAUGUGAUCCACCCACCUUGGCCUCCCAAAGUGCUGGGAUUACAGGUGUGAGCCACCGCACCUGGUCCAGACUACUUGUUUGUUUUUGAGAUGGAGUUUUGCUCUUGUUGCCUAUACUGGAGUGCGAUGGCACUGUCUUGGCUCACUGAAACCUCCUCCUCCCAGGUUUGAGCAAUUCUCCUGCCUCAGCCUCCCGAAGUGCUGGGAUCUCCCCUCCUCGGCCUCCCAAAGUGCUGGAAUUACAGGCAUAAGCCACCACGCCCGGAUGCCAGUUUACUUCUUUAUGCCUCUGUUUCCUCCUCUAUGGAGGGCUAUUAGGAUCAAACCCCUCAGCUCUGGUAGCAGCAAACACAGCACAGUUGAGGGAUGGCUUUUCUGGCCUUCAGCUGGUGCUCGCUUCUCCCCCCUGUAGAGUGUGAGACUGAGGCUACUGAUUGCAUCUCUUCAGCCACAUCCUCUGGGCUGGCUGUUAGGGACCAGAAAGGAAGCAGCCCUGGGCCCUAUCCAGAUGCCUCAGGGGUUGGGGUGAAGACUCAUCCACCAAAAGUGGAAGAAGCCACAGCUGACUGCUUCAGGAGGCAUGCCCCCAUAACCUCAGGCAGACGCUUCACUUCUCUGGCCUGUUUCUGCCUCAAACUGUGUCCGGAAUUGGUGGGUUCUUGGUCUCACUGACUUCAAGAAUGAAGCCGUGGACCCUCGUGGUGAGUGUUACAGUUCUUAAAGGCGGCGUGUCCGGAGUUUUUUCCUUCUGAUGUUCGGAUGUGUUCGGAGUUUCUUCCUUCUGGUGGGGUUCGUGGUCUUCCCGGCUCAGGAGUGAAGCUGCAAACCUUCGUGGCUGGAGUAUACUGGCGUG